GAUGAACGCUAGCGGCAGGCCUAAUACAUGCAAGUCGAGGGAGAAUGUUGGCUUCGUCUGACAUGAAACCGGCGCACGGGUGCGUAACACGUAUGCAACCUACCUUUAACUGGGGUAUAGCUCAGAGAAAUCUGAAUUAAUCCCCCAUACGACUACGACAUGGAAUCAUGAUGUAAUUAACGCUCCGGCGGUUAAGGUUGGGCAUGCGGUACAUUAGUUAGUUGGUGAGGUAAUGGCUCACCAAGGCUAGGAUGUAUAGGUGGUCUGAGAGGAUGAUCCCCCACACUGGUACUGAGACACGGACCAGACUCCUACGGGAGGCAGCAGUAGGGAAUAUUGGUCAAUGAACGCGAGUCUGAACCAGCCAUGCCGCGUGAAGGAUGAAGGCCCUAUGGGUCGUAAACUUCUUUUAUUAGGGAAGAAAAAACGGGAUGCGUCCUGUACUGACGGUACUUAAUGAAUAAGGAUCGGCUAACUUCGUGCCAGCCGCCGCCGUAA
This 498-nucleotide ribosomal RNA is filed under the name uncultured bacterium. RNAcentral's name for it is "partial 16S ribosomal RNA". It matches the Rfam family "Bacterial small subunit ribosomal RNA", at positions 28 to 523 of the family's 1533-position model. The record is from RNAcentral.